This 451-nucleotide ribosomal RNA is filed under the name uncultured bacterium. Its description in RNAcentral is "partial 16S ribosomal RNA". It matches the Rfam family "Bacterial small subunit ribosomal RNA", at positions 354 to 796 of the family's 1533-position model. The record is from RNAcentral.
GUGGGGAAUAUUGGACAAUGGGGGGAACCCUGAUCCAGCCAUGCCGCGUGUGUGAAGAAGGCCUUUUGGUUGUAAAGCACUUUAAGCGAGGAGGAGGCUACUGAGAUUAAUACUCUUGGAUAGUGGACGUUACUCGCAGAAUAAGCACCGGCUAACUCUGUGCCAGCAGCCGCGGUAAUACAGAGGGUGCGAGCGUUAAUCGGAUUUACUGGGCGUAAAGCGUGCGUAGGCGGCUUUUUAAGUCGGAUGUGAAAUCCCCGAGCUUAACUUGGGAAUUGCAUUCGAUACUGGGAAGCUAGAGUAUGGGAGAGGAUGGUAGAAUUCCAGGUGUAGCGGUGAAAUGCGUAGAGAUCUGGAGGAAUACCGAUGGCGAAGGCAGCCAUCUGGCCUAAUACUGACGCUGAGGUACGAAAGCAUGGGGAGCAAACAGGAUUAGAUACCCCAGUAGUCC